RNAcentral lists this transfer RNA (85 nucleotides) under Phascolarctobacterium sp. RNAcentral describes it as "tRNA-Leu". It matches the Rfam family "tRNA". Rfam says of the family: Transfer RNA (tRNA) molecules are approximately 80 nucleotides in length. Their secondary structure includes four short double-helical elements and three loops (D, anti-codon, and T loops). RNAcentral also lists the same sequence under 1 other name. The record is from RNAcentral. Lineage: Bacteria; Bacillati; Bacillota; Negativicutes; Acidaminococcales; Acidaminococcaceae.
GCGGGUGUGGCGGAAUUGGCAGACGCACCAGACUUAGGAUCUGGCGAGUUCGCUCAUGCAGGUUCAAGUCCUGUCACCCGCACCA